GGGGGACAGUUCAGUGGCAGAGCACUUGCCUGGCAUGCAUGAGACCCUGGGUUCCAUCCCCCAAAUCCCCCC
This 72-nucleotide transfer RNA is filed under the name Marmota monax (woodchuck). RNAcentral's name for it is "tRNA.Ala". Lineage: Eukaryota; Metazoa; Chordata; Mammalia; Rodentia; Sciuridae. The record is from RNAcentral.